This 753-nucleotide ribosomal RNA is filed under the name uncultured Pyronemataceae. RNAcentral's name for it is "eukaryotic LSU rRNA". The stretch from base 186 to 753 matches the Rfam family "Eukaryotic large subunit ribosomal RNA", at positions 1 to 572 of the family's 3401-position model. The record is from RNAcentral. Lineage: Eukaryota; Fungi; Ascomycota; Pezizomycetes; Pezizales; Pyronemataceae.
UAAAAGCCAUCAAGCGAGCUUUUCCUCGCCUGGUUCUGGGAGAUGGUCACCCUCCGGGGAGCCCACCCCUGAAAUCCAACGGCGGACGAACCACCAGUGGAACUGCGGCGUAGUAAGAUUUUUCUUUCGCCUGCGUCCAUGGAGGGACCGUCCCGCCGGUUGCAAACCCCCCACAUUACAAUGGUUGACCUCGGAUCAGGUAGGGAUACCCGCUGAACUUAAGCAUAUCAAUAAGCGGAGGAAAAGAAACCAACAGGGAUUGCCUCAGUAACUGCGAGUGAAGCGGCAAGAGCUCAAAUUUGAAAUCUGGUACCUUUGGUGCCCGAGUUGUAAUUUGGAGGGAUAUCUUCGGGGCCGGCGCCGUCCUAAGUUCUUUGGAACAGGACAUCGUAGAGGGUGAGAAUCCCGUGCCUGGAUGGCUGCCCGGUCCCAUGUGAAGUGUCUCCGACGAGUCGAGUUGUUUGGGAAUGCAGCUCAAAAUGGGUGGUAAAUUUCAUCUAAAGCUAAAUAUUGGCGAGAGACCGAUAGCGAACAAGUAGAGUGAUCGAAAGAUGAAAAGCACUUUGAAAAGAGAGUUAAAGAGUACGUGAAAUUGUUGAAAGGGAAGCGCAUGCGACCAGACUCAACCUUUGGUGAUCAUCCGGGGUUCUCCCCGGUGCACUUGCCAUCGGUUGGGCCAGCAUCGGUUCCGGCGGCGGGAUAAAAGCGGUGGGAAUGUAGCUCCCCUCGGGGAGUGUUAUAGCCCUCCGCACA